Molecule: ribosomal RNA, 318 nt
Filed under: uncultured bacterium
Lineage: Bacteria
Description: bacterial SSU rRNA
Rfam family: Bacterial small subunit ribosomal RNA
Source: RNAcentral
GACGAACGCUGGCGGCAUGCCUAAUACAUGCAAGUCGAGCGAAUGAUGAAGAAGCUUGCUUCUUCUGAUUUAGCGGCGGACGGGUGAGUAACACGUGGGUAACCUGCCCAUAAGAGGGGGAUAACAUUCGGAAACGGAUGCUAAUACCGCAUAUUUCUAAUCGUCUCCUGACGAAUGGAAGAAAGGUGGCUUCGGCUACCGCUUAUGGAUGGACCCGCGGCGUAUUAGCUAGUUGGUGAGGUAAUGGCUCACCAAGGCGAUGAUACGUAGCCGACCUGAGAGGGUGAUCGGCCACACUGGGACUGAGACACGGCCCAG